UUGACAGGUAACGGAUAUCUUUCAGAGUCUAGUCUCUGUCUGUCAGUGUCUGUUCAGUUCUUUGCUGUUGUUUUGGAUUGUGGUUUGUUACUGCAUCUGAGCAAUUUAAGCAAAUUAUCUGGUCAUUUUUACGUUGAGUCGAGGAACUGCUCCUCCGUACUCUAUCUGUUGAUAGUACUUUCGCGAAAGGACGCUUUAUUACUUGUGUUGUGUAUAACACCUGCUGACCAUGUUUGCCGCACGGAACAAAUAUUUGAAUGAUCUGCAAGUAGUUGUUCUUGGUCUGGGCACAUGAGUUUCUAUGUUGAUGAAAUAAUACUAAGAAUAGAUUAAAUAAUUAUAAGAACAAUAAAAUAGAUGUAUAUUCCUACAAAAA
This 376-nucleotide long non-coding RNA is filed under the name Helicoverpa zea (corn earworm). RNAcentral describes it as "uncharacterized LOC124631365". The record is from RNAcentral. Lineage: Eukaryota; Metazoa; Arthropoda; Insecta; Lepidoptera; Noctuidae.